UACGUAGGGUGCAAGCGUUAAUCGGAAUUACUGGGCGUAAAGCGUGCGCAGGCGGUUUUGUAAGUCUGUCGUGAAAGCCCCGGGCUCAACCUGGGAAUUGCGAUGGAGACUGCAAGGCUUGAAUCUGGCAGAGGGGGGUAGAAUUCCACGUGUAGCAGUGAAAUGCGUAGAGAUGUGGAGGAACACCGAUGGCGAAGGCAGCCCCCUGGGUCAAGAUUGACGCUCAUGCACGAAAGCGUGGGGAGCGAACCGG
Molecule: ribosomal RNA, 253 nt
Filed under: uncultured bacterium
Lineage: Bacteria
Description: partial 16S ribosomal RNA
Rfam family: Bacterial small subunit ribosomal RNA
Source: RNAcentral